AUUCCAGCUCCAAUAGCGUAUAUUAAAGUUGUUGCGGUUAAAAAGCUCGUAGUUGGAUUUCUGUUGAGGACGGUCGGUCCAUCUUUUGGAUGUGCAUCUGAUACGGCCUCGGCAUCCUCUUGGGGAACGUCGUUGUGCUUCAUUGCGUGACACGGUAUUCAAGACUUUUACUUUGAGGAAAUUAGAGUGUUCACGGCAGGCAAUCGCCAUGAAUAUAUUAGCAUGGAAUAAUAAUAUAGGACCUUGGUUCUAUUUUGUUGGUUUCUAGAGCUAAGGUAAUGAUUAAUAGGGAUAAUUGGGGCCAUUUGUAUUAUCGCGUCAGAGGUGGAAUUCUUGGAUUGCGAUACGACAAACUACUGCGAAAGCAUUUGGCAAGGAUGUUUUCAUUA
RNAcentral lists this ribosomal RNA (389 nucleotides) under Syndiniales sp. RNAcentral describes it as "partial small subunit ribosomal RNA". It matches the Rfam family "Eukaryotic small subunit ribosomal RNA", at positions 582 to 975 of the family's 1831-position model. The record is from RNAcentral. Lineage: Eukaryota; Dinophyceae; Syndiniales.